Molecule: ribosomal RNA, 440 nt
Filed under: uncultured Lachnospiraceae bacterium
Lineage: Bacteria; Bacillati; Bacillota; Clostridia; Lachnospirales; Lachnospiraceae
Description: bacterial SSU rRNA
Rfam family: Bacterial small subunit ribosomal RNA
Source: RNAcentral
CCUACGGGAGGCAGCAGUGGGGAAUAUUGGACAAUGGGGGAAACCCUGAUCCAGCGACGCCGCGUGAGUGAAGAAGUAUUUCGGUAUGUAAAGCUCUAUCAGCAGGGAAGAAAAUGACGGUACCUGACUAAGAAGCCCCGGCUAACUACGUGCCAGCAGCCGCGGUAAUACGUAGGGGGCAAGCGUUAUCCGGAUUUACUGGGUGUAAAGGGAGCGCAGACGGCCAAGCAAGUCUGAAGUGAAAUGCAUGGGCUCAACCCAUGAAUUGCUUUGGAAACUGUUUGGCUUGAGUGUCGGAGGGGUAAGCGGAAUUCCUAGUGUAGCGGUGAAAUGCGUAGAUAUUAGGAGGAACACCGGAGGCGAAGGCGGCUUACUGGACGACAACUGACGUUGAGGCUCGAAGGCGUGGGGAGCAAACAGGAUUAGAUACCCGAGUAGUC